Long non-coding RNA from Cyprinus carpio (common carp), 552 nucleotides. RefSeq lists it as uncharacterized. NCBI's taxonomy places the organism in Eukaryota, Metazoa, Chordata, Actinopteri, Cypriniformes, Cyprinidae. The transcript is spliced from 3 exons. The record is from RefSeq and is a predicted model, not a curated record.
CUCAGAAGUCAGGAAAUGAAGCUAACAUUGGAUUUGGACGUGCCUUGAUGCCUUCUUACCUUGGAAAGCAGCAUUUUUCAGAUUUCGGAGGCAGCCACACACUGGAAAAUUAUUAUUAUUAUUUUUUUUUAUUUUUUUAUUUUAUUUUUUUUUAGUUUGGCUCACCUCCCAUUCGUGUACAUGUAGAGGGCGGAGUUUAUGAGCUAUACUGCAACCAAACACUAGAUGGCGACCUUUUCAGGACAUAUGCGGCACACUUGCUCAGAAUUAACAUUGAGAAGAAAAGGAAAAACAAGAAAAACAACAAACUACUGAAUACUGCAAUUCCAGAACAGACACCGUUUUGACGAUCGUGUCGGGGGUUAAAAGAGUCCGAGAGAGUGAGGGCUCAGGUCAUCAGUGCUCCAUAGCGUGCAGCGUGUGGCAGCAGACAGCGGGAGACUCCGCACACAUGUGGACUUCACAUCAGCGCCAGCGGAAGGAUGAGUCGGGGAGACAGCACAGCGGCCCACUCCGAACUUACUUAAGGGCAGAAACAGGCUACAAUAUGGG